CAAGACUAAUCAAAGCUGAUAAGCACAUACCCAAUACUAAUCAAAGCUGAUAAGCACAUACCCAAGACUAAUCAAAGCUGAUAAGCACAUACCCAAUACUAAUCAAAGCUGAUAAGCACAUACCCAAGACUAAUCAAAGCUGAUAAGCACAUACCCAAGACUAAUCAAAGCUGAUAAGCACAUACCCAAGACUAAUCAAAGCUGAUAAGCACAUACCCAAGACUAAUCAAAGCUGAUAAGCACAUACCCAAGACUAAUCAAAGCUGAUAAGCACAUACCCAAUACUAAUCAAAGCUGAUAAGCACAUACCCAAGACUAAUCAAAGCUGAUAAGCACAUACCCAAGACUAAUCAAAGCUGAUAAGCACAUACCCAAGACUAAUCAAAGCUGAUAAGCACAUACCCAAGACUAAUCAAAGCUGAUAAGCACAUACCCAAGACUAAUCAAAGCAGUAAUCACCACCAAAGAUCCUUCUACAUCAUGGAUUUUUAUGUUAUUUUAUUUAACAUUUAUUUAACUAGGCAAGUCAGUUUAAGAAUGACGGCCUCCUGCAAGGGGUUAAUAAUAAAAUGAAAUAAAUAAUAAAUAGUAAUAAUAACAAAAAUAAAUACAAAUAUAUAAAUAUAGGACAAUACACAUCACGACAAGAGAGACAACAAUACAUAAAGAGAGACUUAAGACAACAACAUAGCAUGGUAGCAACACAAAAUGACAACACAGCAUGGUAGCAACACAAAAUGACAACAUAGCAUGGCAGCAACACAAAAUGACAACACAGCAUGGUAGCAACACAAAAUGACAACACAGCAUGGUAGCAACACAAAAUGACAACACAGCAUGGCAGCAACACAAAAUGACAACACAGCAUGGUAGCAACACAAAAUGACAACACAGCAUGGUAGCAACACAAAAUGACAACACAGCAUGGUAGCAACACAAAAUGACAACACAGCAUGGUAGCAACACAAAAUGACAACACAGCAUGGUAGCAACACAACAUGACAACACAGCAUGAUAGCAACACAACAUGGUAGCAGCACAAAACAUGGUACAAACAUUAUUGGGCACAGACAACAGCACAAAGGGCAAGAAGGUAGAGACAACAAUACAUCUCACAAAGCAGCCACAACUGUCGGUAAGAGUGUCCAUGAUUUAGUCUUUGAAUGAAGAGAUUAUGAUAAAACUGUCCAGUUUGAGUGUUUGGUGCAGCUCGUGAGGCCUAAGAGGAUUUUAUAAAUAAACAUCAACCAGUGGGUCUUGCGACAGGCAUACAGAGAUGACCAGUUUACAGAGGAGUAUAGAGUACAGUGAUGUGUCCUAUAAGGAACAUUGGAGGCAAAUCUGAAGGCCGAAUGGUAAAGAACAUCUCGCCGCUCGAGAGCACCCUUACCUGCUGAUCUAUAAAUUAUGUCUCCAUAAUCUAGCAUGCGUAGGAUGGUCAUCUGAAUCAGGGUUAGUUUGGCAGCUGGGCUGAAAGAGGAGCGAUUAUGAUAGAGGAAUCCACAUCUAGAUUUAACUUUAGCCUGCAGCUUUGAUAUGUGCUGAGAGAAGGACAGUGUACCGUCUAGCCAUACUCCCAAUUACUUUUAUGAGGUGACUACCUCCAGCUCUAAACCCUCAGAGGUAGUAAUCACACCAGUGGGGAGAGGGGCAUUCUUCUUACCAAACCACAUUACCUUUGUUUUGGAGGUGUUCAGAAGAAGGUUAAGGGCAGAGAAAGCUUGUUGGACACUAAGAAAGCUUUGUUGUAGAGCAUUUAGCACAAAUUCUGGGGAGCGGCCAGCUGAGUAUAAGACUGUAUCAUAUGCAUAUAAAUGCAUGCGAGAGCUCCCUACUGCCUGAGCUAUGUUGUUGAUGUAAAUUGAGAACAGCAUGGGGCCUAGGAUCAAGCCUUGGGGUACUCCCUUGGUGACAGGCAGUGACUGAGACAGCAGAUUGUCUGACUUUAUACACUGCACUCUUUGAGAGAGGUAGUUAGCAAACCAGGCCAAAGACCCCUCAGAGACACCAAUACUGCUUAGCUGGCCCACAAUAAUGGAAUGGUCUACCAUAUCAAAAGCUUUAGCCAAGUCAAUAAAAAUAGCAGCACAACAUUGCUUAGAAUCAAGGGCAAUGAUGACAUAAUUGAGGACCUUUAAGGUUGCACUGACACAUCCAUAACCUGAGCGGAAACCAGAUUGCAUACCAGAGAGAAUACUAUAGACAUCAAGAAAGCCAGUCAGUUGAUUAUUGACAGGUUUUUCAAACACUUUUCAUAAACCAGGGCAAAGUAGAAAUAGCCUAUAACAGUUUGGAUCAGGUUGAUCUACCCCUUUUAAAUAAAGGAUGAACCGUGGCUGCAUUCCAAGCAAUGGGCACCUCCCCUGAGAGGGUUAAAGGUUAGAGAAAGGCAUGGCGAUGAUAGGUGCAGCAACCUUAAAGAAGAAAGGGUCUAAACCAUCUGACCCAGAUGGUUUUUUUGGGGGCCAAGUUUCAGGAGCUCCUUUUGCACCUCAGACUCAGUGACCGCCUGCUUUGUAGCGGGGCAGGGCUAAAAAGUGGGAGGAGCAUCAGGGAUAGUCCUAUUACAAGGGGUGGGAGAUGAGGAAAUGUUGGACGGGCAAGGAGGCAUGGCUGAGUCAAAUAGGAAUCCUGACUUAUUAAAGAGCUCAGCCAUGUGCUUAUUGUCAAUAACAACUGCAUCAUCAACAUUAAGGGACAUGGGCAGCUGUGAGGAAGAGGGUUUAUUCUCCAGGUCUUUAACCUUUUUCAAAUCAAAUCAAAUGUAUUUAUAUAGCCCUUCGUACGUCAGCUGAUAUCUCAAAGUGCUGUACAGAAACCCAGCCUAAAACCCCAAACAGCAAGCAAUGCAGGUGUAGAUACACGGUGGCUAGGAAGAACUCCCUAGAAAGGCCAAAACCUAGGAAGAAACCUAGAGGAACCAGGCUAUGUGGGGUGGCCAGUCCUCUUCUGGCUGUGCCGGGUGGAGAUUAUUAGAGAACAUGGCCAAGAUGUUCAAAUGUUCAUAAAUGACCAGCAUGGUCAAAUAAUAAUAAUCACAGUAGUUUUCGAGGGUGCAGCAAGUCAGCACCUCAGGAGUAAAUGUCAGUUGACUUUUCAUAGCCGAUCAUUAAGAGUAUCUCUACCUCUCCUGCUGUCUCUAGAGAGUUGAAAACAGCAGUUCUGGGACAGGUAGCAAGUCCGGUGAACAGGUCAAGAUUCCAUAGCCGCAGGCGAAACAGUUGAAACUGGAGCAGCAGCACGGCCAGGUGGCCUGGGGACAGCAAGGAGUCAUCAUGCCAGGUAGUCCUGAGGCAUGGUCCUAGGGCUCAGGUCCUCCGAGAGAGAGAAAGAAAGAGAGAAAGAGAGAAUUAGAGAGAGCAUACUUAAAUUCACACAGGACACAGGAUAAGACAGGAGAAGUACUCCAGAUAUAACAAACUGACCCUAGUCCCCCGACACAUACUGGAGGCUGAGACAAGAGGGGUCAGGAGACACUGUGGCUCCAUCCGAUGAUACCCCCGGACAGGGCCAAACAGGAAGGAUAUAACCCCACCCACUUUGCCAAAGCACAGCCCCCACACCACUAGAGGGAUUUCUUCAACCACCAACUUACCAUCCUGAGACAAGGCCAAGUAUAGCCCACAAAGAUCUCCGCCACGGCACAACCCAAGGGGGGGGCUCCAACCCAGACAGGAAGAUCACGUCAGUAACUCAAUCCUCUCAAGUGACGCACCCUUCCUAGGGACGGCAUGAAAGAGUAAGCCAGUGACUCAGCCCCUGUAAUAGGGUUAGAGGUAGAUAAUCCCAGUGGAGAGAGGGGAACCAGUCAGGCAGAGACAGCAAGGGCGGUUCGUUGCUCCAGAGACUUUCCGUUCACCUUCACACUCCUGGGCCAGACUACACUCAAUCAUAUGACCCACUGAAGAGAUGAGUCUUCAGUAAAGACUUAAAGGUUGAGACCGAGUCUGCGUCUUUCACAUGGGUAGGCAGACCAUUCCAUAAAAUGGAGCUCAAUAGGAGAAAGCCCUGCCUCCAGCUGUUUGCUUAGAAAUUCUAGGGACAAUUAGGAGGCCUGCGUCUUGUGACCGUGGCGUACGUGUAGGUAUGUAAGGCAGGACCAAAUCAGAAAGAUAGGUAGGAGCAAGCCCAUGUAAUGCUUUGUAGGUUAGCAAUUAAACCUUGAAAUCAGCCCUUGCCUUAACAGGAAGCCAGUGUAGGGAGGCUAGCACUGGAGUAAUAUGAUCACAUUUUUUGGUUCUAGUCAGGAUUCUAGCAGCCGUAUUUAGCACUAACUGAAGUUUAUUUAGAGCUUUAUAUGGGUAGCCGGAAAGUAGAGCAUUGCAGCAGUCUAACCUAGAAGUAACAAAAGCAUGUAUUAAUUUUUCUGCAUCAUUUUUGGACAGAACGUUUCUGAUUUUUGCAAUGUUAUGUAGACGGAAAAAAGCUGUCCUUGAAACAGACUUGAUAUGAUCGUCAAAAGAGAGAUCAGGGUCCAGAGUAACGCCGAGGUGCUUCAAAGUUUUAUUUGAGACGACUGUACAACCAUCAAGAUUAAUUGUCAGAUUCAACAGAAGAUCUCUUUGUUUCUUGGGACCUAGAACAAGCAUCUCUGUUUUGUCCGAGUUUAAAAGUAGAACGUUUGCAGCCAUCCACUUCCUUAUGUCUGAAACACAGGCUUCUAGCGAGGGCAAUUUUUGGGCUUCACCAUGUUUCAUUGAAAUGUACAGCUGUGUGUCAUCCGCAUAGCAGUGAAAGUUAACAUUAUGUUUUCGAAUGACAUCCCCAAGAGGUAAAAUAUAUAGUGAAAACAAUAGUGGUCCUAAAAUGGAACCUUGUGGAACACCGAUAUUUACAGUUGAUUUGUCAGAGGGCAAACCAUUCACAGAGGCAAACUGAUAUCUUUCUGACAGAUAAGAUCUAAAGCAGGCCAGAACUUGUCCGUGUAGACCAAUUUGGGUUUCCAACCUCUCCAAAAGAAUGUGGUGAUUGAUGGUAUCAAAAGCAGCACUAAGGUCUAGGACCACGAGGACAGAUGCAGAGCCUCGUUCUGAUGCCAUUAAAAGGUAACCACCUUCACAAGUCCAGUCUCAGUGCUAUGAUGGCGUCUAAAACCAGACUGAAGCAUUUCGUAUACAUUGUUUGUCUUCAGGAAGGCAGUGAGUUGCUGUGCAACAGCUUUUUCAAAACAUUUUGAGAGGAAUGGAAGAUUCGAUAUAGGUCGAUAAUUUUUUAUAUUUUCUGGGUCAAGGUUUGGCUUUUUCAAGAGAGGCUUUAUUACUGCGACUUUUAGUGAGUUUGGUACACAUCCGGUGGAUAGAGAGACGUUUAUUAUAAGCACAGGAAGCAGCUCUUUCGGUAGUUUAGUUGGACCACAGUUCAGUAAAUAGCUUGAAGGUUUAGAGGCCAUGAUUAUUUUCAUCAUUGUCCCUCCUGAUCCUAGGUCCUGGCAGAGUUGUGCAGACUCUGGUCAACUGAGCUUUGAAGGAAUAUACAGAUUUAAAGAGGAGUACGUCAUUUGUUUUCUAAUGAUCAUGAUCUUUUCUUCAAAGAAGUUCAUUAAUUUAUUACUGCUCAAGUGAAAGCCAUCCUCACUUGGGGAAUGCUUCUUUUUAGUUAGCUUUGCGACAGUAUCAAAAAUACAUUUUGUUAUUUGUUAUUUUCCUCAAUUAAGUUGGAAAAAUAGGAUGAUCGAGCAGCAGUAAGGGCUCUUCGGUACUGCACGGUACUGUCUUUCCAAGCUAGUCGGAAGACUUCCAGUUUGGUGUGACGCCAUUUCCGUCCAAAUUUUCUGGAAGCUUGCUUCAGAACAUUUUCAGAGUAUUUUCUGUAUACCAGGGAGCUAGUUUCUUAUGACAAAUGUUUUUAGUUUUUAGGGGUGCAACUGCAUCUAGGGUAUUGCGCAAGGUUCAAUUAAGUUCCUCAGUUAGGUGGUUAACUGAUUUUUGUCCUCUCCAGAACUUCUUGGGGUUAGACCCACAGAGAGAGUAGUGCUCCUUAAUUAAGGUAACUAACUUUGACCUUCCGGAUAGCCUGAGUGCACUUAUUUCUCAUUUGCCUGAACGAGAGCCAGUUAGCCUGAGUAUGCGUGUGCCGAGCUUUUCGCCAAAUGCAAUUCUUGAGGUGGAGUAACUCUGCAAGAUCACUGUCAAACCAGAGGCUGAACCUGUUUAUAAUUCUCAUCAUCUUCAUGGAGGCAUGUUUGUUAACAAUACCACUGAAAAUAUCAAAAAAGAAGGUCCAAGAAUCUUCGACGGGAUCAAGCUGAUUCUAUACAAUUUCUAUAGAAGGGAUCAUCAACUAGAUUCAGCCACGGGCUGAUUUUUCCUUGAGUGGAUGGUCAGGGGGCCAGAAUAUAAUUACAAAUUAUUUGUCUAUAUCAUAUUUGACUAAAAUGUAAUAAUUUCAAACCUUGCUUAUAUUUGUAUAUGACCACAUAUUCAGUGAGCUCCAGAAGUGUUGGGACACAUUUUAUUAUUGUUUUGGUUUUGUACUCCAGCACUUUGGUUUUGAAAUGAUACAUUGCAGACUGUCACCUUUAAUUAGAGGGUAUUUUCAUCCUUAUCGGGUGAACGGUUUCGAGAUUACAGCACUUUUUGUACACAUUCUCCUCAUUUUAGGGGACCAAAUGUAUUGGGACAAAUUCCCUUAUGUGCAUUAAAGUAGAAACACAGAAGUAUUUGAUCCCAUAUUCAUAGCACUCAAUGACUACAUCAAGUUUAUGACUCUACAAACUUGUUGGAUUAAUUUUCUGUUUGUGUACGUUCUGUUUCAAAUUAUGUUGUGCCCAUUUAGAAAUCAAUGGUAAAUCACAUGUUGUGUCAUUUUGGUGUCACUUUUAUUAUAAAUAAAAAUUGAAUAUAUUUCUAAACACUUCUACAUUCAUGUUGAUGAUACCAUGAUUAGGGAAUGACUUGUGAUGACUCAUACCACCCCAAAAAAUUCUAACCUCCCCUGUUAUUGUAACGAUGAGAGGUUAGCAUGUCUUGAGGGUAUGAUAUAACAUGCUAACCCCUCCCUGUUAUUGUAACGAUGAGAGGUUAGCAUGUCUUGGGGGUAUGAUAUAACAUGCUAACCCCUCCCUGUUAUUGUAACGAUGAGAGGUUAGCAUGUCUUGAGGGUAUGAUAUAACAUGCUAACCCCUCCCUGUUAUUGUAACGAUGAGAGGUUAGCAUGUCUUGAGGGUAUGAUAUAACAUGCUAACCCCUCCCUGUUAUUGUAACGAUGAGAGGUUAGCAUGUCUUGAGAGUAUGAUAUAACAUGCUAACCCCUCCCUGGUAUUGUAACGAUGAGAGGUUAGCAUGUCUUGAGGGUAUGAUAUAACAUGCUAACCCCUCCCUGGUAUUGUAACGAUGAGAGGUUAGCAUGUCUUGAGGGUAUGAUAUAACAUGCUAACCCCUCCCUGUUAUUGUAACGAUGAGAGGUUAGCAUGUCUUGAGGGUAUGAUAUAACAUGCUAACCCCUCCCUGUUAUUGUAACGAUGAGAGGUUAGCAUGUCUUGAGGGUAUGAUAUAACAUGCUAACCGCUCCCUGUUAUUGUAAUGAUGAGAGGUUAGCAUGUCUUGAGGGUAUGAUAUUUGUACGUUUUGUAACCUUCUCACUCAUAAUUAUUCACGAUGUGUACAGAGCCAAAACAACAACAAAUAUGCCACUGUCCCGAUACUUUUAAAGCUCCCUAUAUCUCUCUGUUACGCGCGUGGAAAUUCUUUUGAACACAUCUCAUAACUUAAAAUCACUUGGAGCUGAUUUGCUGGUGUUUUUAAAGAUUUUGUGUAAAUGAGAUAUUUCUGUAUUUCAUUUUCAAUAAAUUUAGCAAAGAUUUCUAAAAACAUGUUUUCACGUUGUCAUUACGGGGUAUUGUGUGUAGUAUUGUGAGUAAAAAACAUACUGUAUAUUUAAUCUAUUUUUGAAUUAAGGGGCUUGAAAUCUUUCUGAGGACACUGUAUCUAUCUCCAUAACUCGAGCAAAGAUGAAUGGGUGGCAGGAAAGCUGUCUGAUGGGCACAAAAUAUGCAGGAAAGAUGCAGAAAAUAUGCAGGAAAGAUGCAGAAAAUAUGCAGGAAAGAUGCAGAAAAUAUGCAGGAAAGAUGCAGAAAAUAUGCAGGAAAGAUGCAGAAAAUAUGCAGGAAAGAUGCAGAAAAUAUGCAGGAAAGAUGCAGGAAAGAUGCAGAAAAUAUGCAGGAAAAGGUGUGUCAAAUAUGCGGGAUGAGGUUUCUGUUAGUCUUUCAGGCACAGUUUGCUCUUCAUCCUCCUCAGCUGCUGCUGCUGGGCCAUCAGACAGGGGACAGUAUAUGUACAUGAACUGGAGGU
Long non-coding RNA from Oncorhynchus keta (chum salmon), 8288 nucleotides. RefSeq lists it as uncharacterized. The transcript has 4 exons. The record is from RefSeq and is a predicted model, not a curated record. Lineage: Eukaryota; Metazoa; Chordata; Actinopteri; Salmoniformes; Salmonidae.